AAAGUUUUGUCCAUCUUUGUUCAUCAUAGCUGAAAGUUAGAGAAGAGAAAGGAGAGGAGAAAGCUCUUGAGUAUUCGGUCAUUAGGAGGAGGAAAAUUGAAGGUAAGUUCUUGGUACCUUGCUUCUAUUUUGAGGUUCAUGAGUUCUUCUUGAUUCUACCUUAACUCUUGAAGCAUAUUUUGGUUUUUGGUUGUGUUGUGAGCAUUUGGUCAUGAAUUAAAAUGAAGGAAAUGGUUGUUGUUUUAUGUUCUUUUGAUGAAAAAUGGAAGAUAUGUGAAGUUGAGCCAAACAAAUGAGCAUGCAUGUGCCUUAGAUGCUAAAGGGAAAAAUCGGCUAACAUGUUGUGCUUUAAAAUGAUGAAAUGGAGAUUAUGCUUAAGUAAAAAUCAUAGAUAUGUGAUGAUUGAUUGGUGAUAUACAUGUUUAAAUAACAUGCAUGCAAGAUAGGUGUAUGAAAGAGUGAUUUGGUAAUAAAUCUGCUUGGGACAGCAGCAGUAACGUGACUUUGGAAAAUCACCAUAAAUUGUGGGAGAUGAAUUAGAAGCUGAAUAAAUUAUGUAAUUAAAGCUUAUUGAGUCUAGUUUCUAAUGAAAUAAACAAGAACAUAUUUUGAAUUCUGUACAAUGAGAAAUUUGAUUCGUAAUGAAGAGUGGUCAGAUUAGUCAAACAGUGAAACAUGGGAAACUUUGAGAAAAAUCUGGUAUUUAUUGGCUAAACCAAAAAUUCUGAAAAUUUUAUGGAUAGAAGAUAUAUGAGUCUAUUUUCAGGGAAAAUUAACGGAACUUGAUUUGGAGUUUCGUAGCUCCAGUUAUAAAUAAUUUAGUGACUGUUGCUCAGGAAGAUAGCUUGCAGUGAAAUUUUGAAUAUGUGGUAAACAUUGACAAAAAAUUGUUAAUGAGUUGCUUAUUGAUUUCUUAUAAGCUUACUAUGAUCUGUAGGUGUGGUUGGCCGAAUAUUGUAAGGGGUUAAUAUGUAGUUUGUAUUUGAAUAGUUAGAUUAACGUGUUAGUAAUCCAAUUGUAGGCGGUUCGUGUAUGGAUCUCGUCAGCAUAUCGUCGCAAACAGGUGUGUAACUAACACCCUCUUUCUUAGUCUGGAUCGGCAAAAGUCGAAAAGUCAAAAUGCCGAAAACCGGUAUUUUGUAGAUUUGCGAGUGUGCGAAUGCUCGUGAGGUAAAUCGAUUAAUGUUUUUGGUAAGCUGCAAAAUUAGGACUGCAAAGUGCAUGAUUUCUAUGCCCUCGAUAUUUUCGGGCUUAAUGGGCCAAAAUUGGAAUGAUGGGCCAACGGGCCCAAUUCAGUAAGAACCCUCGGUACGUGAUUCUGUAGUACGUGAAAGGUAGGAAUAUGCAUGAAAAACCCUAAAAUAGAUAAAUUACUGAAAUACCUUUAAAAAUGGAAAAUUUACAGUUUUACCCCUAGGAGAUAAAUUACCGAAAUACCCCUAGGGUUAAAUUGACUUAAAUGCAUGUUUGACUGUUGUUAUUUACUGCAUGCCAUGUUGUUAUUAUCUGAUGCAUGGGAUUGGGAUAUUGACGGAGGAAGUACUGAAAGUGGCUUGUCCACGUACUGGAGGCUUUGCCUCAAUUUACUGUUAACUGAGCAGCAAUGCUGCAACUGUGGAGUGUUGGGCUGGGUGGGUUGAGCUAUCCCCAUGUGGAGUGUAUGGCUGGUACGGGUGGAGUGUAGUGGUUGGUGGGUUGAGUAGUCUCCCCAAAUGGGCUUGCAUAUGUUAUUGAUGUUGCAUGUAUUUUGAAAUGGGCCUAUGGGCCAUACUGUUAUCUGAAUAAUGGGCUUAGGCCCAAUGGGCUUGAGCUGACUUGGGCUUUGAAUGGGUUUUCCUUACACACUGAGUUUCCCCAAACUCACCCCUUUUAUUUUCAUCCACGUAGGUAAUCCCCAACCAUAGUGGGCUUGGAGCUGUGAGGGAAUUCGGAGUGGCCACCCGUUCUGAAAGUUUGAUUUUCUUCUGGUGAACUGGACAUCCUUUUUUUUACGUUUGAAGUUUUAGGUUUUUAAAUGUAAUAAGGCCGCUUAAUUAUUUUUGAUGGUGUUAAUAUGUGUUACUAAGAUAAGUAUUACUUAUUUUAACUGUUGAAGUUGGAAAGCUUUAGGGCGCGUUUUCAAAAACAACAAUUGAUUUCAAAAUAAUACGACAACAAGCAAAGCUUCCGCAAUGAAAGUAUUUUCCAAAAUUAAUCACUUUUCCUAAAAA
RNAcentral lists this long non-coding RNA (2210 nucleotides) under Gossypium barbadense (sea-island cotton). RNAcentral's name for it is "long non-coding RNA (GBAR_LNC006850)". The record is from RNAcentral. Lineage: Eukaryota; Viridiplantae; Streptophyta; Magnoliopsida; Malvales; Malvaceae.